AGCGUAUCGAUUACUGGCGUAAAGCGCACGCAGGCGGUUUGUAAGCUAGAUGUGAAAGCCCGGGCUCAGCCUGGGAUGGUCAUUUAGAACUGGCAGACUAGAGUCUUGGAGAGGGGAGUGGAAUUCCAGGUGUAGCGGUGAAAUGCGUAGAGAUCUGGAGGNANANCAUCAGUGGCGAAGGCGACUCCCUGGCCAAAGACUGACGCUCAUGUGCGAAAGUGUGGGUAGCGAACAGGAUUGGAUACCCUGGUAGUCCACACCGUAAACGCUGUCUACUACCUGUGUGUGUAUUUUAUACGUGCGUAGCGAAGCUAACGCGCUAAGUAGACCGCCUGAGGAGUACGGCCGCAANGGUUAAAACUCAAAUGAAUUGACGGGGGCCCGCACAAGCGGUGGAGCAUGUGGUUUAAUUCGAUGCAACGCGAAGAACCUUACCUACACUUGACAUGCAGAGAACUUUCUAGAGAUAGAAUGGUGCCUUCGGGAACUCUGACACAGGUGCUGCAUGGCUGUCGUCAGCUCGUGUCGUGAGAUGUUGGGUUAAGU
Molecule: ribosomal RNA, 546 nt
Filed under: uncultured bacterium
Lineage: Bacteria
Description: bacterial SSU rRNA
Rfam family: Bacterial small subunit ribosomal RNA
Source: RNAcentral